CCUACGUGCGGCAGCAGUGGGGAAUAUUGGACAAUGGGCGAAAGCCUGAUCCAGCCAUGCCGCGUGUGUGAAGAAGGCCUUCGGGUUGUAAAGCACUUUCAGUGGGGAAGAAAGCCUUGGGGCUAAUACCCUCGAGGAAGGACAUCACCCACAGAAGAAGCACCGGCUAACUCCGUGCCAGCAGCCGCGGUAAUACGGAGGGUGCGAGCGUUAAUCGGAAUUACUGUGCGUAAAGCGCGCGUAGGCGGUCUGAUAAGCCGGUUGUGAAAGCCCCGGGCUCAACCUGGGAACGGCAUCCGGAACUGUCAGGCUAGAGUGCAGGAGAGGAAGGUAGAAUUCCCGGUGUAGCGGUGAAAUGCGUAGAGAUCGGGAGGAAUACCAGUGGCGAAGGCGGCCUUCUGGACUGACACUGACGCUGAGGUGCGAAAGCGUGGGUAGCAAACAGGAUUAGAUACCCGAGUAGUC
This 465-nucleotide ribosomal RNA is filed under the name Vreelandella stevensii. RNAcentral describes it as "partial 16S ribosomal RNA". It matches the Rfam family "Bacterial small subunit ribosomal RNA", at positions 338 to 795 of the family's 1533-position model. The record is from RNAcentral. Lineage: Bacteria; Pseudomonadati; Pseudomonadota; Gammaproteobacteria; Oceanospirillales; Halomonadaceae.